Molecule: long non-coding RNA, 1580 nt
Organism: Colias croceus (clouded yellow)
Lineage: Eukaryota; Metazoa; Arthropoda; Insecta; Lepidoptera; Pieridae
Exons: 2
Source: RefSeq, a predicted model, not a curated record
AUUAUAUCGCACACUUAAAACAUAAGUGGCACUAUACAAAAAAUUCAUUUUUGAGUUAAGUAUGCAGUCAAAAGGCAUAAAACGAAACGCGCCUAACGCAAAGAUCCCGGUAGCUCUAAUGCGUCAAAUUUUUGCUAGAUGUCGCUAGUGUCACUUAUGAAUUUGUCACAAUUUGUCCGGUCGAUAAUUGAUAAACCGGCACUAUGCCAUUUCGCGUCAAGUCUCCGGUGGAAAUCCUUGUCGAGGCUUUUUGUAUUAUACUAUCAUGGAUCCGAAAAGAAGUAGAUGUAGAAGUAUAAUAGAAUUAUCAACUCAGAACAAUCAAAGAAAAAAAGAAAAUGAUGACGAUGAUGGAUCUCAAAUUACUAAGCCUGCUUCUAAAAGAAAUUCCGAUAUUGUUGAACCGCUUUCAACAAUGAGUGCGUCCGAUUUGAACAUCAUGAGAAGUUCAUCCUUUAAGCUCUUAUCACAACCAAACUAACACUGACGAUGGUAACUUUUUUCUCGCCUCAGACGAUGACAGAACAAACUUUCCAUCAAAGAAAAAAUGCAGGAGAUCAAACUCAAACUCGUCGUCAUCGUCUUCGUCGUCCAGCUCGUCCUCAUCUUCGUCCUCAAGCACAUCAUCCAGUUCAGCUUCAGCUUUGUCUAUACAAAGGCCAUAACCUAACCCAACAAAUUACUCAAAUAAGGUACUAUAGACACACGUAAUAAUUUCGACCCUUCUAAUCCCGAUGACGAAACAGAGAACCCAAAAUGUAAAGUAAAAGGAAUGACCAAAUGCAAAAAUUGAUGACAUUUCCUUCACUCAGAUUGUUGAAGUUUCUAAUAAUCAUCAAAGAAGUGAUCAUCUUCCUGCUGAUUCGAAUCUUAAAAGUGGUCUUGCUCCGAAUGAUGGUUAUCUUGUCGCCUCUUCCAGCCCUGCUGAUAACGUCGAAAUCAUACAUUUUAAUACAAAUGACACAGGAACGAUGAACGAUACUGCAAAAGAAGCUCCAACUCAGCCAGUUGAUGCAAUUACAAGAAAACGAAAAAUAAUAAGAUCGGUACAUACUACAAAUAUUGUGAAGAUACUAAGAAAUACAGGCAAAAAUAUGUUUCAAACUCAAAACAUUUUUCCAGCUAAAAUGAUUAAGAAACCUUGUGGAAGUACAUGUCGUCUGAAAAUCGCAGAUAGAAUUUCUGAAGAGUCACGAAAACUUAUUAUUAACUUAACAGAGAUAACACAGCCCAGAUAUAAAUAUAAAAAGAUUAACUCUAAUAGAAAACCGAAGAAGGUUAACGAAGUUACUGCAAGAUUUUUACUGACCCAUGAUAAUUAGACCAUUGAUACGCUGAUUUUUACGUAACUUUAACAGUUCCUACUUCGAAAGAAUUUGACCUUAGCAGAUUAAUUGAAAUACCUCUAAUAACUGUACUGAUUAGUAAGUAGUAAGAACAAGAUUUUAAUGUUAAUGUUAUUUAUGACAAUACUUUUAUCUAGAUUCAAAAAGACUUGUUAAUUAUGAAUAUGUGUGGCAAUUUUGACCGAAAACUAUGAGCAUGUGCCAAAUAAAUAUAAUUCUUUAUUAUUUUAGUAA